CAACUUUCAGCAACGGAUCUCUUGGCUCUCGCAUCGAUGAAGAACGCAGCGAAAUGCGAUAAGUAAUGUGAAUUGCAUAAUUCAGUGAAUCAUCGAAUCUUUGAACGCACCUUGCGCUCCUUGGUAUUCCGAGGAGCAUGCCUGUUUGAGUGUCAUUA
RNAcentral lists this ribosomal RNA (158 nucleotides) under Galerina atkinsoniana. Its description in RNAcentral is "5.8S ribosomal RNA". It matches the Rfam family "5.8S ribosomal RNA". Rfam says of the family: 5.8S ribosomal RNA (5.8S rRNA) is a component of the large subunit of the eukaryotic ribosome. The record is from RNAcentral. Lineage: Eukaryota; Fungi; Basidiomycota; Agaricomycetes; Agaricales; Galerinaceae.